This 288-nucleotide ribosomal RNA is filed under the name uncultured bacterium. RNAcentral describes it as "partial 16S ribosomal RNA". It matches the Rfam family "Bacterial small subunit ribosomal RNA", at positions 10 to 283 of the family's 1533-position model. The record is from RNAcentral.
AGUUUGAUUAUGGCUCAGGACGAACGCUGGCGGCGUGCCUAACACAUGCAAGUCGUACGAGGACGGUCUUCGGACCGAGCCGAGUGGCGGACGGGUGAGUAACACGUGACCAAUCUGCCUUCGAGAGGGGGAUAACCUGGGGAAACUCGGGCUAAUACCGCAUGACGUGUCGUGCUCGCAUGGGCGUGACACCAAAGGAAGGCCUCUACUUGUAAGCUUUCGCUCGAAGAGGAGGUCGCGGCGUAUCAGCUAGUUGGUAGGGUAACGGCCUACCAAGGCGACGACGCG